This 240-nucleotide unclassified non-coding RNA is filed under the name soil metagenome. RNAcentral describes it as "partial contains 5.8S ribosomal RNA, internal transcribed spacer 2, and large subunit ribosomal RNA". The record is from RNAcentral.
AACUGAUACUACCUGCGGGAACCUGCGGAGGGAUCAUUACUGAGGUGAUUUGGGGAUGUUGCUGGCCCUCUCUCAAGGGGGGGCACUGUGCACUCCUCGAAACAAUUCACAAUUUCCAUCACACCCCUUGUGCACACCUUGUAGGCACCCAAACCCACCUCCGGGUGGUGGGGUCCUAUGUAUUCCUUCAUCUCACACUCUGUUGAAUGGUGCCAUGGGACGCAUCUAAAGGAUUAUUUG